Molecule: transfer RNA, 75 nt
Filed under: Leucobacter exalbidus
Lineage: Bacteria; Bacillati; Actinomycetota; Actinomycetes; Micrococcales; Microbacteriaceae
Description: tRNA-Lys
Rfam family: tRNA
About the family: Transfer RNA (tRNA) molecules are approximately 80 nucleotides in length.
Source: RNAcentral
GCCCCUAUAGCUCAGCGGUAGAGCUUCGGACUUUUAAUCCGCAGGUCGUAGGUUCGAUCCCUACUGGGGGCACCA